GACACAAAGAGAAAAGCAAGGAGAGUGAGGGAGGAGUGUAGAAAGAGGGAAAGAGAAAAGGCAAAGAAUGAGGGUCAUCAAUGCAGAGAGAAAGGAGGUGAUAAGUGAAAGAGAAAACAAGGAGGAGAAAAUAGGGUUUGGGGUAACAGUCACAAAGAAAGAGUGAGAGUGAAAGAAUAGAGAGAAAGAGAGAGAAAAGAGGGAUUGGGUUUGAGCCAGAGGGAAAAGAGUUGAGAGAGGGAGUGGUGAUAGAAUUGGGAGGCAGGGAGCAGUGACGGAGAAAAGACAGAAAAAAGAACAGUAAGAAAAGAGGAGAGAAAGAGGGUCAGGAAGGAGAUAGAGAGAUAAAGAAAAUGAGCGAGAAAAGAAAGAGAACAUGGAUGCAAAGAUGGAAAGAGGACGAAAUUGAUGAAAGAAGAAGAAGGAAUGGAUGGAGUGAGGUGCAAAGAGAGGUCAAGGCACAGCAGUGUGUGACGUUGUUUCUCCCAGUCGGAGGAAGCAGCUGAGAGUUUCUUCGUUGAGCCGUGUCCGUAGAGCCGUCUCUGAGCCUCUGCCUUUUGCUGGGCCAGGUUGCGUUUCUUAUCGCUGGCCCUGGGUCAACAUAAAGCUCCCCCCUGGCUCUCUGACUGCAUAAAAAGAUGGGCUGUGGGCUGGAGUUUGAUGGUAGGCAGAUCAGAAUGGCCAACCACACAAACACCACAGCGGACUAUUCCCAGAGGGACAAAGACCACAAAAUCACACGAAAGCCAGAAACAGCAUCAGUUGCAUGCAGUAGCUCUCAUAGUGCAUGUGUGUUAAUAGUGCGGGCAAACACACAUAGAGUACCAAACGCCACACACAAUGACACAGUACAAAUCAAAUUCAGAUUCAGACACACUAACUCACACUCAUUCACACACACACAACACACACACACACACACACACACACACACACACACACACACACUCACGUGCGCAUUCUCACACGCUGACUGUGGUCCUAACAAGCAGGCCGACCAGCCUUUGAGCUGCCUGGAGCCCGGCACUAGAGAGAGCUUUGCGCGGACCAGGCAGGUUUCUAAUUAUUCGUGCUCACUACAAACACUUGUUUCUUCUUAGUUAGAGUUGACCAGCUGGAGCUUUGUUUUCUGCUGCGUGUGGGGGAACAACUGAAAAAAAAAAAAGCGAAAUUAAAAAAAAAAAAAAAGAAGAGAGCCAGAGACUAUAAUGAGACUGGGCUUCAAUCCACCUAUCUUUGUGUCGGGCUACGAGGACACCCAUCAGGACCUCAUGAGAACGAUCUUUGUCGGGUUCUGUUUCAGAUAGAAAGGAUGGAGCAUCUAAAGUAGAAAUGUAUAUAUGUACUGUAUAUUAUAUUCCUCUUGUCCUUGACCAUCACUCACCAAACAUUUAGUAAUAUUUUUUUCCAUUUUCCUCACUCCAUUUGACAUAAUUUGUCAUGAUGGCUUACACCACAUGGGCCCUGGAUAAACUUGGGGGUGGGGGGGUGUGUGAUAAUGCUGUACCAUUGCUAUAUUUUACCAUUGAGUAAAUGACUCACACUGAUUUGGACCCACGCACCCCAAUUUUAAGACAGCACCCCGUGUUAGAGGAAUUUAGAAUAAAUCUAUCUUUGUCAUGAGGCAGUUCUUCAACUAAACUGAAUAUAUGUCCAUUUCUGUAGCAGCCAUGUUUUCCUUUGCAUUUUUGUUUUGCUUUUAUUUUGCCUUCAAAAGAUAAAGAAAACACUCAAUGAAGCCCUCAAAGAAAAAGCCUUGGAACUGACAAUACAAACCAAAGUCUAAGCAGAGUGUGUGAACGUGUGCUGGUGUACGUGUGUGACUGUGUGUGCACUUGAGUGUGUGUCUGUGUGGAGUGAAGAUCACGGCUCAAUGAAACGCCUCUCCUAUACGAGACACAGAUGCUGUCUGGGCUGGUUUAAUGAAAGUGAACGUCUCCGGUUACGCCAUUUGAGCAAGUGUGUGUGAGUGUGUGCGUGCAUGUGUAUGUGUAUGUGUGUUUGCACCAAUGUCGUGCUGAUGUUUUGAAUGUCAAUAGGAGGUAAAACUUGUGUUGAAAACCCAGCCGAAUUAAGAUAAGGAUCACACAAAAGCCUGUCUCUCUCUUUCUACCUUUUCUUCUCCGUUUUCAACACUUACUCUGAGCAGAAUGUGCCUGUUUGAUGCCUGGCCUUGGUUUGAGAAGCAUCACUCUUGCCUUCUCUGUUUUCACCCCAGCGACAAGUGCUGUUCUGUGGGCUCCUCUUGAGUUUUUGUAUCCGUUAUCAGUAUUUUUGCAAUAAUUUCUCUUUGUGCUCUAUUGCUUACAAAGAGCCAGUGUAUUGCAUCUUCCCCAGAGGUUUUCUUGCAAUGGCAAGACAGAGGCAAACAUGUCCUCUAAUCACAGGAGUUUGGAGUUGCGCAAUUUUGAAUACCUUGUCCACAAAAAAAAAAAAAAAAAACAGUGGCUAUUUUCUGGAGUUGUAAUUGGAGGAUGUGAGAGGCAAUCAUGUUCUUUUUUCCUCCCCAGCCUGCUACACACAGAGACAAAAAUACAAAAACAAAGGGCAGGACUAAUGUCAUUUGACAGUUUCUUAUAUAUGAUACCAUCGAGCUUUCAGGUACCUGACUGGCUUUGAGUUUACACAGGUUGAACUUUCAUUUCCUGGCUGCGAGUUUGCAUGUCCAACAACCAACUUUGACGUUUUAAAGAGUAAGAGAUGAAGACGUUGUCGGAACAGCAGUCUGGGUAAAGCCCCAACGAGGCGUGGCACACAUAAUUCACAGUGACACCAAUAAGGAAACCUGAGAGGUGAAGUCCACAAAUUCAAAACAAACCUGUAAGACCUAGACUGUGUUUCAAUUCCUGACACAAUUUUUACUGUUUUGGUACUCAGGGGGGUGACAGAAAUGAAAAAUAAAAAAUGGUGAAAUGUGGUGAAAUAGAUUCAAUUUACCCCCAAAAUGUUGCAAAGUGAUCUGCUGAAAAAUUUAAUUUGGACCUGAGGGCUUGCCAUAGGGUACAGUUUGUGGCAACCAGCCGAUGGGCCCGGCUGCGCCUUGCGUCCCAGCUGAAUAGGAAUGAACGUUGACACGCUAAAAAGUGGUAAUAAAGUUAUUUUCAGGCUUGACAGCGUACGCAGUGAGGAUUUCAGAAGGGGUCUCUAUGCUUGCAACUAUCCCCUGACUAAUCAGUUGAAUUUUGGAAAUAAAUGAUUGUUGCUGUAAAUGUUGCGUGAAAGAGAAGCACGGCUGUGUGUGUGUGUGUGUGUGCGUGGGAUGUUAAUUGAUGAGAGUUAUAGAGAGCUGCUAGUAGCACAGGGGGGAUCAUUACUACUGGAGUGGAACAACUGCAUUCACGGCUGUUUGCCAUGUCUCAUACACAUUUACACACACACACACACACACAAAGUGCACACAUACUGUCACAGUGCACCAGCAGUCAAAAGGAACACCACUUUUGCUCUCUCUUGUACAUCCUUUUGUCAUGCAAGUUCAACUGUUCAACCACACAAAAAGAGUCAGGUAAGGUAAUUAUAUCACCUUAAUUCCAUGAUGACUCUUCUGAAAACACCAAUCGACUAUCAAAUGUCACUCUUUUUUUUUUUCUCCAAAUCAGAGGCUUUUGGAAAUCGCAAGAUUUAUUUUGGGCUGGCAUGAUGGGGAAAAACAAACAAUUAUCCCAGAGGCAUUCCCAUCCUUGAGUCAAUUUGUGGGAAAGGGGGGGUAGAGGCGCACAGCCACUUUGGGUUAAAGGAUUUAGGUCACACUUUAACUGACUGGCUGACAUCAGAACGGUGAGACCGAAAUCCUGGAGUGGAUUCUGGACUCGAAUCCAUCUCCUGAAUGACUGACACCUGAGAGACUGACACAGAGAGAAUGAGAGGCGGAUGUCUUGCUAGUAAACCUGCCGUCCUGACCUAUAUUUUCGUACCCUGCGUCUGUGUGUGUGUGUGCGUGCCUUUGUAUGUGGAGGAGGGGUAUUUGUCUUGUCUUAUAUGCUGUUGUGUAUGCUUGGAUUUCUGUAUGUAUGCGUGGGCAUGUAUGAGUGCACACAUGCAUGUAAUUUUGUGAGCAUGUAUGUGGUUGUGUAUGUUGCUGUCAUUUAACAUGGGAAUGUGUCUCUCCUUGUGUUCGGAGGUGGACAAAUACAUACUUGAGACUACAUGGGUGUUUGUGUGUGUUUCUGUGCACCAGGGACAAGAGUGUGUAAGCACAAUCAGUGUGUGUUUAUGCUUUCUGUCAGUGUGUGGCGACGUCUCCCUCUCUCCUGCUGAUGCCACAUUAUUUCAGUUUAGGAGCCGCUGUCACUUUAGUAGCGGCAUAGACAGGUGAGACUCCACAGACUCCCUCCUCUUUCUGACUGACAAAUUAACACAUACACCCUCAAAUAAAAAUUCUACUGUCAUUUUUCAAUGUGUUUUAAAUUUGAAAAUAUUAUUAUGAUUUACACUGAUAUACUUCAUAAAAAUAAAAUUUGAAAGUUAAUAAAAAUGUAUUUAAAAUCCCAA
Long non-coding RNA from Seriola aureovittata, 4491 nucleotides. RefSeq lists it as uncharacterized. The record is from RefSeq and is a predicted model, not a curated record. The transcript is spliced from 3 exons. NCBI's taxonomy places the organism in Eukaryota, Metazoa, Chordata, Actinopteri, Carangiformes, Carangidae.